Molecule: unclassified non-coding RNA, 313 nt
Filed under: uncultured Sebacinaceae
Lineage: Eukaryota; Fungi; Basidiomycota; Agaricomycetes; Sebacinales; Sebacinaceae
Description: sequence contains ITS1
Rfam family: 5.8S ribosomal RNA (bases 1-105)
Source: RNAcentral
GAAAUGCGAUAAGUAAUGUGAAUUGCAGAAUUCAGUGAAUCAUCGAAUCUUUGAACGCACCUUGCACCCUUUGGUAUUCCGAAGGGUAUGCCUGUUUGAGUGUCAUUGUACUAUCACACCCACAAUUGUGGGAGGUGGACUUGGAGGUUGCUGCGAAAGCAGCUCUUCUUAAAUGCAUAACAUGCUGGGUUAAGCCAUUGCAGUGUAAUAAACAUUUCACUGCAACCUGCACUCACAUGCCUGUCCUUGGACUGUUGCUUGCAACAUUUGACAACUUGACCUCAAAUCAGGUAGGACUACCCGCUGAACUUAA